AUUGAACGCUGGCGGCAUGCCUUACACAUGCAAGUCGAACGGUAGCAGGUUAAGCUGACGAGCGGCGAACGGGUGAGUAAUAUAUCGGAACGUGCCCAGUCGUGGGGGAUAACGUAGCGAAAGCUACGCUAAUACCGCAUACGAUCUACGGAUGAAAGCGGGGGAUCGCAAGACCUCGCGCGAUUGGAGCGGCCGAUAUCAGAUUAGGUUGUUGGUGAGGUAAAGGCUCACCAAGCCUGCGAUCUGUAGCUGGUCUGAGAGGACGACCAGCCACACUGGACCUGAGGCACGGUCCAGACUCCUACGGGAGGCAGCAGUGGGGAAUUUUGGACAAUGGACGCAAGUCUGAUCCAGCAAUGCCGCGUGCAGGACGAAGGCCUUCGGGUUGUAAACUGCUUUUGUACGGAACGAAACGGCGAGCUCUAAUACAGUUUGCUAAUGACGGUACCGUAAGAAUAAGCACCGGCUAACUACGUGCCAGCAGCCGCGGUAA
This 493-nucleotide ribosomal RNA is filed under the name uncultured bacterium. RNAcentral describes it as "partial 16S ribosomal RNA". It matches the Rfam family "Bacterial small subunit ribosomal RNA", at positions 30 to 523 of the family's 1533-position model. The record is from RNAcentral.